This is a long non-coding RNA of Neopelma chrysocephalum (saffron-crested tyrant-manakin), 286 nucleotides long. RefSeq lists it as uncharacterized. NCBI's taxonomy places the organism in Eukaryota, Metazoa, Chordata, Aves, Passeriformes, Pipridae. The record is from RefSeq and is a predicted model, not a curated record. The transcript is spliced from 2 exons.
AGGAUUAAAAACAUCCCCCCCCAAAAAAAACUCGAGGGUUUUCCCCCAAAAGGGUCCCGGUGGAAUAAAAAAGUUCAUUGUCUCUUCCAGAUUUGCUUGGGGUGGUUUUUGGGGGGGGGUCCUGGAAAGGUCGGAGGAUUAAAAACAUCCCCCCCACCCCACCCAAAAAAAAGAGGCUGCACAAACGGGGUGAAAUGAGUAAAAAUGAGGUUCCACCCCCCCAAAAACUCGAGGGUUCUCCCCCAAAAGGGGUCCCGGUGGAAUAAAAAAGUUCAUUUUCUCUUCC